RNAcentral lists this long non-coding RNA (688 nucleotides) under Phoenix dactylifera (date palm). Its description in RNAcentral is "long non-coding RNA (PDAC_LNC012631)". Lineage: Eukaryota; Viridiplantae; Streptophyta; Magnoliopsida; Arecales; Arecaceae. The record is from RNAcentral.
AAUUUUAUGAGUUGAAGUUUGAAAUUUGAAUUCUGAAAUUUGAAAUUUGAAAUUUUAGGUUUUUUUUUAAUUUUUUGAAUAAUCACCCUCGAUCUUUUCUUAAAGUUUUUUUCUUAAAUUUUCAAUUAGCAACAAGGGUUAAUGAGAUAUGAUAACAAUAAAAUUCUGAUUCUAAAAUAAUUAAAUACAGAAAAUUUAAAACAGAAAGCAGCAAGGUUUCGUAUUAAUCUAAUGGUCCUGCAAAUAAUUAAUCUCAGAAUGUCAAUCAGACCGUUCGGAUGAAAGAAACACAGGUCCUGCACCUGACGACCAAAUUUGAGUUCAAUCAGACGGUUAAUUACUUUGAUAUCAGAGUUUGAUGCAGACUGUGCAGGGAAUAAAAAAACAGCAGUAAAGAAUUUUUUUUUUUUGUUUUCGAAAGGAAAAGACUAACUAUUAAAGUACUAAUUAAAUCUAAAAUUAUACUAAUAAAUCAGCCGUUCCCCGGCAACGGCGCCAAAAACUUGAUGCGUCACAGAAAUGUUCUCCCAAGUGCAGGAGAAUCGCACAAGUAGUAAAAUCUCGGAAGUCCGAGGUCGAAUCCUCAGGGAACAAAAUAUAUAUUAGAUUAUUUAAUAUAAUUUUAGAUUUGUUGCCCAGAUAGACAACCCAAGAGGGGGGGUGAAUUGGGUUUUAAAAUAAUUUAGAU